RNAcentral lists this transfer RNA (74 nucleotides) under Marmota monax (woodchuck). RNAcentral describes it as "tRNA.Ala". Lineage: Eukaryota; Metazoa; Chordata; Mammalia; Rodentia; Sciuridae. The record is from RNAcentral.
AGGGAUGUGGCACUAGGUAGUAGAGCACUUGCCUAGCCUGCAUGAGACCCUGGGUUCAAUCCCCAGCACUUCAA